CUUCCCUUCCUAGCUGCUCUUAAACAUCUAUCUUGGCAGACGCUUCUGCUAUAGAGGGAUCAACUAAGCUGCCAUCUCAAGCCUCUGUUGCACGAGACAGAACCUCAUGCAGGUUAGAGUGGAUCUACUAUCUACGACUUCAGAAUUCCCUGUCAAUUCAACGGUGCAAAUUCAUGCACAUUUGAUGAUUAAAGGCAUGACUCUUUUUAAGGUUUUACCUUGUAACAUCUCACCGCCAGACAUAAUAACUUUCGUUGAAAUCCCCGCAAGACUUGAUUCGCUAGGCUAUUUGAAACAAUAUUUCGAGCGAUUGAACUAGCAUGAAACGAAAGAGAGAGCCCACUCCAAUGAUUGUUAAAACUUAAUGAAAGCAUGAACUUAUUCCUUUGUUCUGUCUUUUGCCAUAAAAACUUCUCAAUUCUCAUUCAUAUGGAAAAUACAGGACUAUUACAUCGAGGUGGUCUGCCUUCAACACCAGCAUCAUAUAAAACUCGGACUGAGUAUUUACUAUCCAGUUGUCUGACGGAUUAGUUGCUCGAUUGACCCAAGUCCACUGGACAUCUUCA
This 566-nucleotide long non-coding RNA is filed under the name Eucalyptus grandis. Its description in RNAcentral is "long non-coding RNA (EGRA_LNC001922)". The record is from RNAcentral. Lineage: Eukaryota; Viridiplantae; Streptophyta; Magnoliopsida; Myrtales; Myrtaceae.